RNAcentral lists this microRNA (21 nucleotides) under Mus musculus (house mouse). RNAcentral's name for it is "mmu-miR-6420". The record is from miRBase by way of RNAcentral. Lineage: Eukaryota; Metazoa; Chordata; Mammalia; Rodentia; Muridae.
ACUAAUCCUAUAAAAUCAAAC